This 440-nucleotide ribosomal RNA is filed under the name Modestobacter sp. RNAcentral describes it as "bacterial SSU rRNA". It matches the Rfam family "Bacterial small subunit ribosomal RNA", at positions 20 to 461 of the family's 1533-position model. Lineage: Bacteria; Bacillati; Actinomycetota; Actinomycetes; Geodermatophilales; Geodermatophilaceae. The record is from RNAcentral.
UGGCUCAGGACGAACGCUGGCGGCGUGCUUAACACAUGCAAGUCGAGCGAGGCCCUCCUUCGGGGGGUGCCCUAGCGGCGAACGGGUGAGUAACACGUGGGCAACCUGCCCUCAGCUCUGGGAUAACUCCAAGAAAUUGGUGCUAAUACCGGAUGUGACCGCUGACCGCAUGGUCUGGUGGUGGAAAGAUUCAUCGGCUGAGGAUGGGCCCGCGGCCUAUCAGCUUGUUGGUGGGGUAAUGGCCCACCAAGGCGACGACGGGUAGCCGGCCUGAGAGGGUGACCGGCCACACUGGGACUGAGACACGGCCCAGACUCCUACGGGAGGCAGCAGUGGGGAAUAUUGCGCAAUGGGCGAAAGCCUGACGCAGCGACGCCGCGUGAGGGAUGACGGCCUUCGGGUUGUAAACCUCUUUCAGUAGGGACGAAGCGCAAGUGACU